UAAUGAAUACCCAUAAAGAGUUUUCAACAAAAUUAAUAUAUAGCAAGCAAGUGAAGACUGAAAAUGAUACCAAAAUGUGCAGAGGAAGUAGGAGAAGGACUAGAGAGAGAUGAAACCUUCUCCAACAAACAAGCCAAACAUGAGAACCAGAAGGCCAACGGUGACACACUGAGUGGCGGAGAUGAGAGUCUGUGAAUAAGCAGACAAGGUGAUGGCUGCACCAACCAACCGUAUCAAAAGAGCACCCAAACUUUGAUUCAUCUUGCUUAUACAGCUUCAAUCCUUUUCGAUUAAUGUUUGAAAAUACCAGGCUUUGGCCA
Molecule: unclassified non-coding RNA, 320 nt
Filed under: Hevea brasiliensis (rubber tree)
Lineage: Eukaryota; Viridiplantae; Streptophyta; Magnoliopsida; Malpighiales; Euphorbiaceae
Source: RNAcentral